This 110-nucleotide ribosomal RNA is filed under the name uncultured bacterium. RNAcentral's name for it is "partial 16S ribosomal RNA". It matches the Rfam family "Bacterial small subunit ribosomal RNA", at positions 1373 to 1482 of the family's 1533-position model. The record is from RNAcentral.
CCCGGGUCCUGUACACACCGCCCGUCACACCAUGGGAGCGGGAUGUACCAGAAGUAGGUAGGCUAACCGCAAGGGGGCCGCUUACCACGGUGCGUUUCGUGACUGGGGUG